Molecule: ribosomal RNA, 86 nt
Organism: Cricetulus griseus (Chinese hamster)
Lineage: Eukaryota; Metazoa; Chordata; Mammalia; Rodentia; Cricetidae
Source: Ensembl
GUCUAAGGCCAUACCAUCCUGAAAAUGCUGGACUCCACUUAAUCUCAGUUGUUAAGCAGGGUCAGACCUGGUUCUUGCUUGAGCCU